Molecule: ribosomal RNA, 338 nt
Filed under: uncultured microorganism
Description: bacterial SSU rRNA
Rfam family: Bacterial small subunit ribosomal RNA
Source: RNAcentral
GAGUUUGAUCGUGGCUCAGGACGAACGCUGGCGGCGUGCCUAAUACAUGCAAGUCGAGCGAGGGUUUUUAAGACCCUAGCGGCGGACGGGUGAGUAACACGUAGGCAACCUGCCUCUCAGACCGGGAUAACAUAGGGAAACUUAUGCUAAUACCGGAUAGGUUUUGGAUCGCAUGAUCCGAAAGAAAAGAUGGCUUUUCGCUAUCACUGGGAGAUGGGCCUGCGGCGCAUUAGCUAGUUGGUGGGUAACGGCCUACCAAGCGACGAUGCGUAGCCGACCUCGAGAGGGUGACCGGCCACACUGGGACUGAGACACGGCCCAGACUCCUACGGGAGGCA